Xiphophorus hellerii (green swordtail) is the source of this 583-nucleotide long non-coding RNA. RefSeq lists it as uncharacterized. The record is from RefSeq and is a predicted model, not a curated record. Lineage: Eukaryota; Metazoa; Chordata; Actinopteri; Cyprinodontiformes; Poeciliidae. The transcript has 3 exons.
UGGAAUAUUUCAUUGUAUAUGUAACCCGCAAUUAGUAAAGGACUUUUAUUUUUGCGGGCCCACUUCCUGUGUUGCCCGAACUCUGCUAACUUAUUUAAAGUCCCGCCUCCAGUGCGCAGUAAAAGAUCCUCACCUGUUCCACUGUGAUUGUGGUUUGCUGUUGGCGUUUUCCUCAAGAAUUCCUCCAAAAAUCUUUGAACCCAUUGAUUUGAUUGCUGGAAUCACUGGCAUUGUUUACCUGGACCGUCACCGGGAUUCUGUUAGUGCUGAUUGUGGCUCAGUACGGCCCACUGUCUUCUAAAAGGUCGGGUUUUUUUUUCACCUGUCGGAUUAGAUCCUCAUCUGGAUCGAAAGAUGGCGAGCUAGGAAUGGACUAUGGACUUUAUGAUUUGGAAAUCAAUUUAUUCUGAGUCAAUUCUCAUGUGUCUCAUUGUGUUGUUGUAAUUGUAUGUUGGUUUUUUUUAUUCAAAUCACUUAAUAUAUAUUCACCAAAACUAAAAGCACUGCCUCCUGUUUUUUUCACACCUCAGGCUCCUUAAAAGGCCACUCUUCUGAUGCUGCUUAUGUAGCCGCAGUUAGCUGC